RNAcentral lists this ribosomal RNA (253 nucleotides) under uncultured bacterium. RNAcentral's name for it is "partial 16S ribosomal RNA". It matches the Rfam family "Bacterial small subunit ribosomal RNA", at positions 524 to 776 of the family's 1533-position model. The record is from RNAcentral.
UACGGAGGGGGUUAGCGUUGUUCGGAAUUACUGGGCGUAAAGCGCGCGUAGGCGGAUUAGUAAGUUGGAGGUGAAAUCCCAGGGCUCAACCUUGGAACUGCCUUCAAAACUACUAGUCUUGAGUUCGAGAGAGGUGAGUGGAAUUCCGAGUGUAGAAGUGAAAUUCGUAGAUAUUCGGAGGAACACCAGUGGCGAAGGCGACUCACUGGCUCGAUACUGACGCUGAGGUGCGAAAGCGUGGGGAGCAAACAGG